RNAcentral lists this ribosomal RNA (253 nucleotides) under uncultured bacterium. RNAcentral describes it as "partial 16S ribosomal RNA". It matches the Rfam family "Bacterial small subunit ribosomal RNA", at positions 524 to 776 of the family's 1533-position model. The record is from RNAcentral.
UACAGAGGAGCCAAGCGUUGUCCGGAUUGACUGGGCGUAAAGCGCACGCAGGCGGCAUCGCGCGUGGGGUGUGAAGUCUGGCCGCUUAACGGCCAGGCGCCAUCCCAUACGGCGAGGCUGGAGCGAUGCAGAGGUCGGUGGAAUUGCCGGUGUAGCGGUGAAAUGCGCAGAGAUCGGGAGGAACACCCGUAGCGAAGGCGGCACUCUGGGCCGGUACUGACGCUGAGGAGCGAAAGCGUGGGGAGCAAACAGG